UUUUCGCGCCUGCUCCCUCGGGAGUUGUACAGUAUAUGAACCAUCUAAUAAAUAAAUGUGUUAUCAGCCUCCUAGAACUGAUAUUUGUAUCAUAUUUAGUCUCUGCUUACGUGAGGACGCUUCACUAAUUUUUUGCUUUAGCCACAUUAAUCGAACAUUAGGAUUCUUGGUUGUAAUGAAUAUCUUCAUGUGUGUCUCAGACUCAAAGACAUCCAAAGAAUAUGACUUCUCAUUAUCAGUUAAUUCAGCCAUAGCAUCCACUUGAUCAACACACUUCUCAACUGAAAAUUCUUCAUCACACCUUUUCCUUUCUUCAAGAGCUUGCAAAGUUUUGCUAUUUUGGCUCUUUUUAAAAUCCACAUAUCCUUGAAGAGCUGAUCCAAUGUGACUUUGCUUACGCUUUCUCCCACUUCCACCUUCU
Molecule: long non-coding RNA, 421 nt
Filed under: Setaria viridis
Lineage: Eukaryota; Viridiplantae; Streptophyta; Magnoliopsida; Poales; Poaceae
Description: long non-coding RNA (SVIR_LNC009586)
Source: RNAcentral